CCCAGACUGCUGUGUUUCCUUCGCAGGUGCCUGCUUUUGCGUUUCUCUGAUGCUUCCUGUGGAGAUAUUCCUCAGUGACUCCCUGCAAUGACACUCAUGAAGACAGAUUGUUAAAUAUGAAUCACAGAUGCUCUGAAGAAUUCCCUGAUAUUGCUACCAAAAGGGAGGUGGAGGACGUAAGAGCAUCUUUGUGGUGUGGGUGGCCUCACUGAAAGCCAAAGCCUGGGCUGACAUGAACGACUUCCUCAAGGCCACACAGUCUGCAGAAGAGUUGGG
This 276-nucleotide long non-coding RNA is filed under the name Coturnix japonica (Japanese quail). RNAcentral describes it as "lncRNA (ENSCJPG00005015407.1)". Lineage: Eukaryota; Metazoa; Chordata; Aves; Galliformes; Phasianidae. The record is from RNAcentral.